RNAcentral lists this ribosomal RNA (406 nucleotides) under uncultured Agaricaceae. Its description in RNAcentral is "eukaryotic LSU rRNA". The stretch from base 1 to 105 matches the Rfam family "5.8S ribosomal RNA", at positions 50 to 154 of the family's 154-position model. Lineage: Eukaryota; Fungi; Basidiomycota; Agaricomycetes; Agaricales; Agaricaceae. The record is from RNAcentral.
GAAAUGCGAUAAGUAAUGUGAAUUGCAGAAUUCAGUGAAUCAUCGAAUCUUUGAACGCACCUUGCGCUCCUUGGUAUUCCGAGGAGCAUGCCUGUUUGAGUGUCAUUAAAUUCUCAACCUCACCCAUUUCGUGAUGAAGUGUGUGUGUAGGCUUGGAUGUGGAGGCUUGCAGGCCCGGCUCUCUGAGUUGGUCUGCUCCUCUGAAAUGCAUUAGUGGGUUGUGCCCCUCAUCUAUUGGUGUGAUAAUUAUCUACGCCGUGGAUCAGUGUUGGCGACAAUGUGACCUGCUUCCAACCGUCCGACUCGGACAACUUGACAUUUUUGGCCUCAAAUCAGGCAAGACUACCCGCUGAACUUAAGCAUAUCAAUAAGCGGAGGAAAAGAAACUAACAAGGAUUCCCCUAGU